GACGAACGCUGGCGGCGUGCUUAACACAUGCAAGUCGAACGGAAAGGCCCUGCUUUUGUGGGGUGCUCGAGUGGCGAACGGGUGAGUAACACGUGAGUAACCUGCCCUUGACUUUGGGAUAACUUCAGGAAACUGGGGCUAAUACCGGAUAGGAGCUCCUGCUGCAUGGUGGGGGUUGGAAAGUUUCGGCGGUUGGGGGUGGACUCGCGGCUUAUCAGCUUGUUGGUGGGGUAGUGGCUUACCAAGGCUUUGACGGGUAGCCGGCCUGAGAGGGUGACCGGCCACAUUGGGACUGAGAUACGGCCCAGACUCCUACGGGAGGCAGCAGUGGGGAAUAUUGCACAAUGGGCGGAAGCCUGACGCAGCAACGCCGCGUGCGGGAUGACGGCCUUCGGGUUGUAAACCGCUUUCGCCUGUGACGAAGCGUGAGUGACGGUAAUGGGUAAAGAAGCACCGGCUAACUACGUG
This 468-nucleotide ribosomal RNA is filed under the name uncultured bacterium. RNAcentral's name for it is "partial 16S ribosomal RNA". It matches the Rfam family "Bacterial small subunit ribosomal RNA", at positions 28 to 507 of the family's 1533-position model. The record is from RNAcentral.